UUGAGCUAAAGAGCCCAGCUCUGAGGUUGGAAUCUGUAAGAUUUGCAUGCUCGGUAGAUCAGGCAAAGAGGUCACCACAUAACACACUGACUAGUGGUUUGCACUAGAGAAUGGAAACAGAGUAUCAGUGAGGAUGAUUGUAAUAAGGGGGAGAAGAAGACCCAGUUAGAUGACCUGAUCCAAAGCCCUUUGAAAUCAAUGGAAACAUUCCCUUUGUCUUCAAUGGAUUUUAGAUCAGGCCCAGUAUGAGGAAGAAGUGUUGCAAAGUAUUAUGUAGUGGUGACAGUUGUCCUGCCUUUAUUUAGGGCUUGAGCCUAGUGAAGUCAGUGAAAAUACUCUCCUUGAUUUAAAUGGGCUUUGGAGCAGGCUCUUUGAGUCCUGCUGAUUCUAAGUAGGAAAUGGGAUAACGGAGCAGACAGACUGCUUUCCUUAGAAUUCCUUGUGAAUUGGUGUAUUAUGCUUUGACUUUGUUGGCCCCACUCCAAAGAUUUCAGAUAGGUACAGAAGACCAGCCAACUGCCUCUGUGCCUUUCUUCCAACAUUUUCAUUUGCAAGUCACUGGGGAUCUCCACAGAAGACAGAAAAGAGAAGAAGCAAAUAUCUCAUGGGCUUCUUGGUGCCCUGGAAAACCAGACAGAAAUGCUUUGCAGGGUAAGAGUUCAACGCAAAUGAGGAGCACAGCUCACGUUAUGCAGGAUAUUGAAUAGCACCCUCCCUUCUGUGCACCCUUGAGUUUUGGCUAGAGGUCAUUGAAACACAAUAUUCAGUGAUACUUUAUCUCAUUUUCCAUUCAAGUCAAAGUUUAAAUUAUUCCAAAAGCAACUUUUAAAUCAUGCUGCUGAGGAUCAUUGGGGACAGCAUCGAGCUUUUGUAACCAGACUUUCUUUUUCAUCUGACUGUUAUGUAACAUAUCCAGUAACCAUUUACCAGGUCACCUAACUGGGUGAAUAGCACUUAUGAGUAGAAAUGGCUACAUUCAGCUUCCAUAUUAGGCACAGGAAAGUAGGGAAGUACAGUCAUAUGCCAGUGUCCCACAUUAAUUUCUCCAUAUUUAAUAACCUUUUGUAUAAUCUUUUUGACUCUGGAUAAUGUUCAUCAGGAACAAACUCUCAUGAAAG
This 1118-nucleotide long non-coding RNA is filed under the name Gopherus agassizii (Agassiz's desert tortoise). Its description in RNAcentral is "lncRNA (ENSGAGG00000013468.1)". Lineage: Eukaryota; Metazoa; Chordata; Testudines; Testudinidae. The record is from RNAcentral.